RNAcentral lists this long non-coding RNA (1070 nucleotides) under Sus scrofa (pig). Its description in RNAcentral is "lncRNA (ENSSSCG00050027338.1)". The record is from RNAcentral. Lineage: Eukaryota; Metazoa; Chordata; Mammalia; Artiodactyla; Suidae.
CAUCUGGCCAGGUAAGUUUCUUAAGCUGGACAUUUGUGCCCACGGAGACAUCAUCGGCUUUAUUUCAACUGUUCCGGUUUCACUUCCCUUAAUUGGGUCCUUUUCCAGGCCGCUGAGAGCAGCAUGGCUGGAGAAUUCCCGGUGCAGCGGGGGUUAUAUAAUCUGACUCUGAAAACUGGGCCUCGACCCAGAGAGGUCAACUUGGUCUUUAUUUAAUUAGUCUUUUAGGCAUUUAAACACACUCGCAUAUUUGAAAGAAAAAGUGCAUGACAAAGGAUACAUAGAGUCGGUUUGAGCAUUUGCAUCAUCAAAAUUCAAUCUGAUUCUUCCUCUCUCCCUUUUGUUCUAGUGGAAACAUGUUUUCCUCCUGAGCACUCUUUUGGGGUAAGCAAUCGGACGGGGUGGAAGUUGGUGCCUAGCGGGGUCAGCAAGUUUUUCCUUCCAGAGAGGCUGUGAACUGCGGCAGCCGGUGGCCCUGCGCCCAGAGGGAGCAAACCCACUGGCUGCUUUUCUUCUGUUCCUGCGCAGACCACCUCACUCAUCUGUCAGCCUGCUGGCCUCUGUACCCCUUUGACUUUUCUCCCAAGAUGCGGUCCAAUCAGAUACACCUUUGACUUUUCUCCCAAGAUGUUGUCCAAUCAGGUACGCCUUUGACUUUUCUACCUAGAUGUUGUCCAAUCAGGUACGCCUUUGACUUUUCUACCUAGAUGCUGUCCAAUCAGGUACGCCUUUGACUUUUAUCCCUGGAUGUGGUCCAAUCGGCUCAUUGUACAAGUGAGGAAAGGAAGGCCACGAGGCAAGAGCAUCUUGUAUUAGUGGAAUAUACAGCAGAGUAUUCAGCGGGGGGGUGGUUGGAGGAGAGGGCCAUAAUGCAAAAGACUUCAAGGUAAAGAGAAAUUAAUCCACAGCUCCAGAACAUCUCAAGAGUAGAGCUCUGCCAGGAAGCAGAUUUGAGGGUUCAGACAGGACCCUGGAUUUCCCGUAGAAGUCCUUGCUGGAGAUGCUAGAUUCAGAAAGAGAGAGAAAGAACACAGUGCCUCUGGGCUGAGCCUGAGAUGGGGAAAAGGAGG